Molecule: unclassified non-coding RNA, 531 nt
Filed under: Azilia eryngioides
Lineage: Eukaryota; Viridiplantae; Streptophyta; Magnoliopsida; Apiales; Apiaceae
Description: partial external transcribed spacer
Source: RNAcentral
CAUUCCUCUUCGCUGCCGGCACCGCAUGAGCAACAGGACGGAUACCGUCCUCCAGUCAACACGGGGCACGCCAAGCUUCCGUAAGGGACAAUUGAUUCGGGCAUAAAGGGGACAAGGACCCCGACCGAUCAUGCUUCUACAUACAAGACUUCGAGCGACACCUGGGCGUCCGACGCCUGCAAGCUACAAAGGCAAAGCAAGGGCGGACAUCCAUGGGAGCUUCAGGGUCUACAUCGCACAAAACAUUUUUGGCACGAGAUAGAGUAGGGACCGUGGGACUAGAGAAUUCCGUCAAAAUAGGUAUGCUGCACAGGGGGCCAAGCCGAUCCAAGGCAAUAUAUUUAGCACUCGGACAGAAUUGAACAGGUGUGAACCAGCGGUUGUCGCUACCGAGGCAGGGAACCAACCAACCGGAACAUACCAAUCACCACUCAUGCGCUACACGUACGGCAUGCCACCAAUCACCCACUAGGCACAAGCCCCCCAAAGACCCAAAAGUCUAGAAAGGACAUGACCGUAACAAGUGAAAGC